UCGGGAAUAUUGGACAAUGGGUGAGAGCCUGAUCCAGCCAUGCCGCGUGCAGGAAGAAGGCGUUAUGCGUUGUAAACUGCUUUUUGCCAGGGGAUAAAAUGACCGUGCGCGGUUAAUUGAAGGUACCUGGUGAAUAAGCCACGGCUAACUACGUGCCAGCAGCCGCGGUAAUACGUAGGUGGCAAGCGUUGUCCGGAUUUAUUGGGUUUAAAGGGUGCGUAGGUGGCCCUGUAAGUCAGUGGUGAAAUAUCUCAGCUUAACUGAGAGGGUGCCAUUGAUACUGCAGGGCUUGAGUACAGAUGAGGUAGGCGGAAUUGACGGUGUAGCGGUGAAAUGCAUAGAUAUCGUCAAGAACACCGAUAGCGAAGGCAGCUUACCAAGCUGUAACUGACACUGAGGCACGAAAGUGUGGGGAUCAAACAGGAUUAGAUACCCAUGUAGUCCCUGAGCGGGCUGGCAAGGCGCAU
Molecule: ribosomal RNA, 467 nt
Filed under: uncultured bacterium
Lineage: Bacteria
Description: bacterial SSU rRNA
Rfam family: Bacterial small subunit ribosomal RNA
Source: RNAcentral